RNAcentral lists this ribosomal RNA (255 nucleotides) under uncultured bacterium. Its description in RNAcentral is "partial 16S ribosomal RNA". It matches the Rfam family "Bacterial small subunit ribosomal RNA", at positions 524 to 776 of the family's 1533-position model. The record is from RNAcentral.
UACGGGGGGGAGCAAGCGUUGUUCGGAUUUACUGGGCGUAAAGGGCGCGUAGGCGGUCGUGACAAGUCACUUGUGAAAUCUCCGGGCUUAACUCGGAACGGUCAGAUGAUACUGCUUUGCUAGAGUGCGGAAGGGGCAAUCGGAAUUCUCGGUGUAGCGGUGAAAUGCGUAGAUAUCGAGAGGAACACCAGAGGUGAAGACGGGUUGCUGGGCCGACACUGACGCUGAGGAGCGAAAGUGUGGGGAGCGAACAGG